Molecule: ribosomal RNA, 468 nt
Filed under: uncultured bacterium
Lineage: Bacteria
Description: partial 16S ribosomal RNA
Rfam family: Bacterial small subunit ribosomal RNA
Source: RNAcentral
GACGAACGCUGGCGGCGUGCUUAACACAUGCAAGUCGAACGGAAAGGCCCUGCUGUUGUGGGGUGCUCGAGUGGCGAACGGGUGAGUAACACGGGAGUAACCUGCCCUUGACUUUGGGAUAACUUCAGGAAACUGGGGCUAAUACCGGAUAGGAGCUCCUGCUGCAUGGUGGGGGUUGGAAAGUUUCGGCGGUUGGGGAUGGACUCGCGGCUUAUCAGCUUGUUGGUGGGGUAGUGGCUUACCAAGGCUUUGACGGGUAGCCGGCCUGAGAGGGUGACCGGCCACAUUGGGACUGAGAUACGGCCCAGACUCCUACGGGAGGCAGCAGUGGGGAAUAUUGCACAAUGGGCGGAAGCCUGAUGCAGCAACGCCGCGUGCGGGAUGACGGCCUUCGGGUUGUAAACCGCUUUCGCCUGUGACGAAGCGUGAGUGACGGUAAUGGGUAAAGAAGCACCGGCUAACUACGUG